GCCGGGCGUGGUGGCACACGCCUGUAAUCCCAGCUACUCGGGAGGCUGAGGCAUGAGAAUUGCUUGAACCCAGGAGGCUGAGGUUGCAGUGAGCCGAGAUUGCGCCACUGCACUCCAGCCUGGGCAACAGAGCGAGACUCUGUCUUAA
RNAcentral lists this small RNA (148 nucleotides) under Pongo abelii (Sumatran orangutan). RNAcentral's name for it is "Metazoan signal recognition particle RNA (ENSPPYG00000039992.1)". Lineage: Eukaryota; Metazoa; Chordata; Mammalia; Primates; Hominidae. The record is from Rfam by way of RNAcentral.